RNAcentral lists this long non-coding RNA (514 nucleotides) under Daucus carota (carrot). Its description in RNAcentral is "long non-coding RNA (DCAR_LNC005767)". Lineage: Eukaryota; Viridiplantae; Streptophyta; Magnoliopsida; Apiales; Apiaceae. The record is from RNAcentral.
UGAGAUUGUGAAUAAGGCAAAUGCUAGGCGAGGAGACAGAGUUGAGGAUCCAGUGGUCGAGGAGUGUUCAGGAAAGUUGAUGUGGUUGGUGCAAGCUAGAGCUGUGCUAUAGGGAUUCAAGUGUAAGUCAUAGCUGGAAUAGUUGACAGUGAUUCUUCUUAUCGAAGAUGAUCUGAUUUGGUAAGAAAUGUUGUGUAAUAUUAGUGGUGGAUUCUAAUUUCAAUACUGUAACCUGGAUGCGAUCCUGUUGUUUUAGGGGGUGAAAAUGUUCUCAUUCAAAUCUUUUAUUAAAUGUUUUCAAGUUUUAAAUUCUUUUGGAUUUUCAAUAUCUUUAAAAAAAAAAUUAAAAAAAAAUACAGGUUUUCAAAGUGUUUUAAAAAGGUUUCGUGUGGUGACGUCAGAAUCCAGGCCCCAGGAUUCUCGGGCUGUCACACUUUACAUCCAUUUGAUGGACGAUAAGACCAUGCACAGAAGCCAAUGCUAUAAGCAUUCGGAUGGUUGUCAUUCUAGCAAC